CUAUAGUGAUUGACUACUCUCCGAAUCUCUUCCAGACUUUCUCCUAUCACGAUCGACUUUACUCCAAGCUUCUUUCGGACUUCAUCAAUGACCGGGCUUUUCCAGCAGCAGCACUUCUACAGUAACCAGACUCUAUCCAAGUUUUCACAGUGGUCGACUGCCUUUUGAAUUUCAUUCAAGCUUCUACAGUAAGCGAAUUUCGUCUGAACUUCUAUUG
This 217-nucleotide long non-coding RNA is filed under the name Elaeis guineensis (African oil palm). Its description in RNAcentral is "long non-coding RNA (EGUI_LNC055401)". Lineage: Eukaryota; Viridiplantae; Streptophyta; Magnoliopsida; Arecales; Arecaceae. The record is from RNAcentral.